GAUGAACGCUGGCGGCGUGCCUAAUACAUGCAAGUCGAGCGAACGGACGAGAAGCUUGCUUCUCUGAUGUUAGCGGCGGACGGGUGAGUAACACGUGGAUAACCUACCUAUAAGACUGGGAUAACUUCGGGAAACCGGAGCUAAUACCGGAUGAUAUUUUGAACCGCAUGGUUCAAAAGUGAAAGACGGUCUUGCUGUCACUUAUAGAUGGAUCCGCGCUGUAUUAGCUAGUUGGUAAGGUAACGGCUUACCAAGGCAACGAUGCAUAGCCGACCUGAGAGGGUGAUCGGCCACACUGGAACUGAGACACGGUCCAGACUCCUACGGGAGGCAGCAGUAGGGAAUCUUCCGCAAUGGGCGAAAGCCUGAUGGAGCAACGCCGCGUGAGUGAUGAAGGUCUUCGGAUCGUAAAACUCUGUUAUUAGGGAAGAACAUAUGUGUAAGUAACUGUGCACAUCUUGACGGUACCUAAUCAGAAAGCCACGGCUAACUACGUG
RNAcentral lists this ribosomal RNA (497 nucleotides) under uncultured bacterium. RNAcentral's name for it is "partial 16S ribosomal RNA". It matches the Rfam family "Bacterial small subunit ribosomal RNA", at positions 28 to 507 of the family's 1533-position model. The record is from RNAcentral.